Vicia faba (fava bean) is the source of this 234-nucleotide non-coding RNA. The record is from the annotation of a GenBank genome assembly. Lineage: Eukaryota; Viridiplantae; Streptophyta; Magnoliopsida; Fabales; Fabaceae.
AUGUGCAUCCCCUUCAAUCUCCCUCUGCAACCUCCAUCUCUGAACCAUACUUUCUUCAAAGCUCUGCAACCUCCAUCUCUGAACCAUACUUUCUUCAAAGCUCUGCAACCUCCACCUUCAAUCUUCACUUUCCUUCUUCAUCGUCAACCUCCAAUCAACAACAAUCCACAACAAUCAUCAUCAGCACCAAUCCGUGAAUAUCUUCAUCUUCAUCACCUUCAACCUUCAUUUUAG